RNAcentral lists this ribosomal RNA (443 nucleotides) under uncultured bacterium. RNAcentral describes it as "partial 16S ribosomal RNA". It matches the Rfam family "Bacterial small subunit ribosomal RNA", at positions 338 to 795 of the family's 1533-position model. The record is from RNAcentral.
CCUACGGGAGGCAGCAGUGGGGAAUAUUGCACAAUGGGCGAAAGCCUGAUGCAGCAACGCCGCGUGAAGGAAGAAGGGUUUCGGCUCGUAAACUUCUAUCAACAGGGACGAAAGAAAUGACGGUACCUGAAUAAGAAGCCCCGGCUAACUACGUGCCAGCAGCCGCGGUAAUACGUAGGGGGCAAGCGUUAUCCGGAAUUACUGGGUGUAAAGGGUGAGUAGGCGGCAUGGUAAGCCAGAUGUGAAAGCCUUGGGCUUAACCGCGGGACUGCAUUGGGAACUACCGGGCUGGAGUGACGGAGAGGUAGGCGGAAUUCCUAGUGUAGCGGUGAAAUGCGUAGAUAUUAGGAGGAACACCAGUGGCGAAGGCGGCCUACUGGACGGUGACUGACGCUGAGGCUCGAAAGCGUGGGGAGCAAACAGGAUUAGAUACCCUUGUAGUC